RNAcentral lists this ribosomal RNA (486 nucleotides) under uncultured bacterium. RNAcentral describes it as "partial 16S ribosomal RNA". It matches the Rfam family "Bacterial small subunit ribosomal RNA", at positions 30 to 507 of the family's 1533-position model. The record is from RNAcentral.
AUUGAACGCUGGCGGCAUGCCUUACACAUGCAAGUCGAACGGCAGCACGGGUGCUUGCACCUGGUGGCGAGUGGCGAACGGGUGAGUAAUACAUCGGCACAUGUCCUGUAGUGGGGGAUAGCCCGGCGAAAGCCGGAUUAAUACCGCAUACGAUCUACGGAUGAAAGCGGGGGACCUUCCGGCCUCGCGCUAUAGGGUUGGCCGAUGGCUGAUUAGCUAGUUGGUGGGGUAAAGGCCUACCAAGGCGACGAUCAGUAGCUGGUCUGAGAGGACGACCAGCCACACUGGGACUGAGACACGGCCCAGACUCCUACGGGAGGCAGCAGUGGGGAAUUUUGGACAAUGGGCGAAAGCCUGAUCCAGCAAUGCCGCGUGUGUGAAGAAGGCCUUCGGGUUGUAAAGCACUUUUGUCCGGAAAGAAAUCCUUGGCCCUAAUACGGUCGGGGGAUGACGGUACCGGAAGAAUAAGCACCGGCUAACUACGUG